Molecule: ribosomal RNA, 491 nt
Filed under: uncultured bacterium
Lineage: Bacteria
Description: partial 16S ribosomal RNA
Rfam family: Bacterial small subunit ribosomal RNA
Source: RNAcentral
GUGAACGCUGGCGGUAGGCCUAACCCAUGCAGGUCGCACGGCAGCACAGUAAGAGCUUGCUCUUACGGGUGGCGAGUGGCGGACGGGUGAGGAAUACAUCGGAAUCUACUUUUUCGUGGGGGAUAACGUAGGGAAACUUACGCUAAUACCGCAUACGACCUACGGGUGAAAGCAGGGGAUCUUCGGACCUUGCGCGAUUGAAUGAGCCGAUGUCGGAUUAGCUAGUUGGCGGGGUAAAGGCCCACCAAGGCGACGAUCCGUAGCUGGUCUGAGAGGAUGAUCAGCCACACUGGAACUGAGACACGGUCCAGACUCCUACGGGAGGCAGCAGUGGGGAAUAUUGGACAAUGGGCGCAAGCCUGAUCCAGCCAUACCGCGUGGGUGAAGAAGGCCUUCGGGUUGUAAAGCCCUUUUGUUGGGAAAGAAAAGCAGCAGGUUAAUACCCCGCUGUUCUGACGGUACCCAAAGAAUAAGCACCGGCUAACUUCGUG